Molecule: long non-coding RNA, 485 nt
Filed under: Elaeis guineensis (African oil palm)
Lineage: Eukaryota; Viridiplantae; Streptophyta; Magnoliopsida; Arecales; Arecaceae
Description: long non-coding RNA (EGUI_LNC081661)
Source: RNAcentral
UUUAAUGGGGUUUGAGUGAUCACAUGAAAUAUUAUACAAAUAUCUCUGCCAGAAAGGAGGUCAUGCCUACCACUCCUAGGGAAGAAGAGCUUUGUCACUAAUUGAUGUAAGAUUCUCAUUUCAAUUGAUAAAAUUUUGGCUUCCAAUUUAUUCAAACUUCCCGAGUAGGUUCCUCCUAGAAUUACACUGAUCCCCUCUUCCUUCACUGGGAGUUCCAUGUAAGAAUAUCCCUCACAGGGUAAAUGUAGUAUCUCUCCCAAUAUAAUAGGAUCCAGACAGAUAUCAACUCCCUUAACUGUAGAAGUUACUGUUUCAUUGCCAUAAUGUAGAUUUUGAUAAAAUUCUCUAACCAAGUCUACAAAAGUAACUUCCUUGAGAGAGCAGUAAAAACCCCAACCCUGGUUUUUUAUCUUUAUCCCAAAGGAGAAACCUUCUUUUUCAAAGAAUCUAAAAUCCACAUUCUUGCCGGUUUCAACCUUCCUAUC